RNAcentral lists this ribosomal RNA (207 nucleotides) under uncultured bacterium. RNAcentral describes it as "partial 16S ribosomal RNA". It matches the Rfam family "Bacterial small subunit ribosomal RNA", at positions 568 to 774 of the family's 1533-position model. The record is from RNAcentral.
UGCGUAGGUGGUCGUAUUAGUCGUCCGUUAAAAACCGUGGCUCAACCACGGACGUGCGGGCGAAACGGUACGACUCGAGGGCGUGAGAGGUGCAUAGAACUCUGGGUGUAGGGGUGAAAUCCGUUGAUAUCCAGGGGAAUACCGAAAGCGAAGGCAGUGCACUGGCGCGUUCCUGACACUCAAGCACGAAAGCGUGGGUAGCGAACG